Molecule: ribosomal RNA, 497 nt
Filed under: uncultured bacterium
Lineage: Bacteria
Description: partial 16S ribosomal RNA
Rfam family: Bacterial small subunit ribosomal RNA
Source: RNAcentral
GAUGAACGCUGGCGGCGUGCCUAAUACAUGCAAGUCGAGCGAAAAGACGAGGAGCUUGCUCCUCUGACGAUAGCGGCGCAAGGGUGUGUCACACGUGGAUAAUCUACAUAUCAGACUGGGAUAACUUGGAGAAACCGGAGCUAAUACCGGAGAAUAUAUUGAACCGCAUGGGUCAAUAGUGAAAUACGGUUUUGCUGUAAGUUAUAGCUGGAUUCGCGCCGGAUUAUCUAGUUGGGAAGGUAACGGGUUACCAAGGGAAGGAUGCGUAGGCGGCCGGAGAGGCUGAUAGCCUACCCUGGAAGCUAGACGCCGACCAGGCUCCUACGGUAGGCCGCAGUAGGUAAUCUUCCGCAAUGGGGGAAAGUUUUACGGAGCAGCGCCGCGUCAGUUAUGAAGGUCUCCCGAUCGUAAAGCGUUGUUACUGGGGAAGAACACAUUUGGAAGUUGCUAUGCCCGUCGUGACGGUACCUGGUCAGAAAGCCCCGGCUAACUACGUG